Molecule: ribosomal RNA, 429 nt
Filed under: Bacteroidota bacterium
Lineage: Bacteria; Pseudomonadati; Bacteroidota
Description: Bacteroidetes bacterium partial 16S ribosomal RNA
Rfam family: Bacterial small subunit ribosomal RNA
Source: RNAcentral
UAGGGAAUCUUCGGCAAUGGGGGGAACCCUGACCGAGCAACGCCGCGUGAGUGAAGAAGGUUUUCGGAUCGUAAAGCUCUGUUGUUAAGGAAGAACGAGUGUGAGAAUGGAAAGUUCAUGCUGUGACGGUACUUAACCAGAAAGGGACGGCUAACUACGUGCCAGCAGCCGCGGUAAUACGUAGGUCCCGAGCGUUGUCCGGAUUUAUUGGGCGUAAAGCGAGCGCAGGCGGUUAGAAAAGUCUGAAGUGAAAGGCAGUGGCUCAACCAUUGUAGGCUUUGGAAACUGUUUAACUUGAGUGCAGAAGGGGAGAGUGGAAUUCCAUGUGUAGCGGUGAAAUGCGUAGAUAUAUGGCGGAACACCGGUGGCGAAAGCGGCUCUCUGGUCUGUAACUGACGCUGAGGCUCGAAAGCGUGGGGAGCGAACAGG